This is a long non-coding RNA of Nyctereutes procyonoides (raccoon dog), 5360 nucleotides long. RefSeq lists it as uncharacterized. The transcript has 4 exons. Lineage: Eukaryota; Metazoa; Chordata; Mammalia; Carnivora; Canidae. The record is from RefSeq and is a predicted model, not a curated record.
GCUCCCGGGGCCGCGGCACAAACGGGCCGCGCCGGACGGGGCCGCGCGCCGGGCCUGCAGCGGAAACGGAAACGGACACGGACGCCUUCCGCGGCGCACCGCUCUCCCGCGCGGCUUCCGGGACGGACUGAGGGACCCGCGGCCGCGGGAGGGAGGGCGUCGGGCGGGGACGCGGGCGCCGACCCCCACGCCGGGCCGGUGAGCGACCCCGAGACGCGCAGGUGCAGGGGCGGGGCCGCGCUCGUCCGGCGCUGGCCCCGUAGUGGGAGCGGGAGCAGCGGGCGCCCGGCUCCGACCUUCCGCAGGUCAGAAGUUCGAAAUGAGUGUCACCGGGCUGAAAGCAGAAUGCCGACAGGGUGGCUUCCCUUUGGGGGGCUCUCAGGAAGAAGCUGGCUUCUGGCCAUUUACAGCUUUGAGGCUGCGUGCAUCCUGGGAUCCUGGCUCAUUGCUCCCCUCGAGGCCAGCGAUGGCUGAUGAUCUUGGGAACAUCAUAUGCCUUGGACACCGACGCUCCUGAAUCCCUCCUCCACACUUAGGGACCCUUGUGGUGUCAUUGGGCCCAUCCAGGUAUUCUAGUAAUUAGAAAAAAAAAAAAACUGCACCAAGGACAGCUAAUCAAAUACCGUAUUGGCUGAGAAAACGUGGCUCCGGUGUAGAUAACUCAGACUGAAGACUGCUUCAGCUGUACAAACCCCUGAGGUGAGGGUCUAAGGAGGAAGAAAUCCAGGUGGGGCCCCGGCCCUGUUCUCCGCUGGAUCACAGUGUUCGCGUCCCAGCUCACUUGGUGGUUGGCGGGAUUCAGUCCUUGUGGAUGUAGGACUGAGCUUUCUGUUUCCUUGAUGGGGGUCCUCUGAGGGCUGCUCUCAGCUUCCGGAGGCUACAUUCCCUGGCCACUUGGUGCCCGCUGUGACAGCAUGCUUACGCAAAGCCACCAGGAGAAUCCGUCCCUUCUGUUGGCUAAGGCUGGGUCUUGUAGGAUACAACGUGACAACCCGAGUGACUAUCCCAUCACCUUUGUCAUGCAAAAGAACCAAUCAAGGGAGUGACCGGUCUAGCACAUUCACAGGUCCUGCCCGCACUCGGGGGUGGGAGGAUUAGAUGGGGUAUGUACACAGAAGGCAAAAAUCCUGGCGGCCUGUUAGAGUCUUGCCAACCACCACACAGUACCUCCAAGAAUUUUUUAAGACCAUUAUAACAAGUGUGACAGUUUAACAGGUUGCUGAACACACAAUCAACGGACAAGAAGCAAAAGUAUUCAGACCAGAAUCAACUAAUACAAAUGUAGUGGAAAAGGAGAUUUCAGUAUUAAUACAAAACAAAACUACCAGGCACCCAACUACAGAAAGAAAAAAUCUAACAAAAGUAGAGCCGGGCCUUGGGAAGGCUCGGACUCUAAUGACCGCCGUGAAGGGAAACCUGAACACACGGCCUGUGCACCGCAGUCCCACACGCUGAGGGUUAACAUCUCAAACAAGCCCGUUCUCUCCAAAUUAAAGAUCGCAGUGCAGUUUCAAUAAAACCCCAGCAGACUUUUUUUCACGGAACUUGUCAAGUUCAUCCUCAGAGUAAUAGUGAGGAGCAGAAAAUUACACCUAGGGAAAAUUAGGAGAAGGAGACUCGCGGUUUUGGACGAUGUGACUUGCUGUGACGUUAGGAAGUGGAAUGAUGAGUGCAGAGUAGGGCCAGGCCGCCGAGCAGAGCAAGGAGCGCGUCCGGAGGCAGGUCCUCGCACACGUGAACUGGCCUGUGACCGGGCGGCCUUACAGCCUGGCCCUAGGUGAGCCUGGGGAAACGGCGUUGAUUGAGACGAGAUCACUUCCACACACUUUCGAACCUACGUGUGAUGAGGAGUCAGUGUGGGAAGCAGCACCUUGAUAUCUUUAGAAGAAACGAGAUCAUUUUUGUGACACUGAAGCGGAACAGAAGUUUCCUAAAUAAGAUUUCAACGCACAAACCGUGAAAGAACCACGUAAACCACACGUACAGCAGAAGUCAUGCACGUAAAGUGGGAAAAAACGCAGGGAUCGAGAGGCGAAGUCUUGUAGGCACGAGACUGACGACGUCAGCAGGGCAGCGGGGCCCCCUUGCUUCCGUGGGGUUCAGCAGUGAAGAGCCCGCUCGGAGGAGGCAGGCGAAGGCUUGCAGCCGAGCACCUGGGGCCCCGCGCGCCCGCCAGGCCGCCGCUGCCGAAGGGGCCAGCAGCCCUGCCCCGGGGGCCCGUGGGCCGCCCCGGCCCGCCACACCGUCGGGGGCCCGCCUGGACGCUGCCGCAGACCGUUUCCAACCCGUGGGCACGUCGCUUAGCCCGUGUGACCCCGACUGCUCCCUGCACAGACGGCCCGCCGGGGAGCGCACGCCCAGGGCACUGGCGUCGGCGGCCUGGCUCCCUGGGGCCCUAACCUCGGUCGCCGCCCCGCCAGCCGCCAUCGGGCGAGGAGGAUGUCCCGGGUCCCCAGAGGCACUGUGGGGCUAGGCUGGGCCGCGCACGUUCCCCAGAGCCCUGCCCCUCGGCGCCUCCCCCGCGACGGGCCUUCCUCGGGACGCCGGUGGCGCCAGCGAGGCCAGCGAGGCCCCAGGCUGAGCACCUGUCGCGCCCGGCCCCGUGGCCACUUCCGGGCCACUCUCUGCGUCCUCCCAAACGGCUACGCGUCCCAGCACAGCAGAGAUGCUUCAGUGGGCCCGGCGGCCUGAGCUAGUUAAAGAAACGCGUGGAACAAGAGACGUGGGAAGGCAGCACAGCAGCAGCGGCCCCCCGGGAGGGGCUGCGGAGUCUCCAGGCCGGAGCUCUCCGAAGGUCGUGCCAGUCUGUCUCGUUCUACGUCUAUGGGAUAGGUAGCCCCUCCGGCACGGGUGCACGGGCCUGGGACCCGUGGGAGUGUUCGAGCCUAGAGCACGUGAGGGACCCGGACGGGCCUGUAGGGUGAGGGCCGGAUCCGGCCCCUGCUCGGGAUGCGGACGGCGCGCUCCAGACACCUGCACGCUUGAGAUCGGGCAUUUCUCUGUGGCCGGUAGCUCCGUCCUAGUGGGGAUCACAGUAACAGGAGGAGGAGUAAAACGUUAAAACAAAAAUGCUAAAAGCUUAUGGUUUCUUAAGCGAAUAUCCUACCCGCUUCUUCGUGACGGAAUAAAAUCCGUCACUAAGACACUAAGCAAAUCAGUCGCUCUCCCCGGAGUUUGGUAAAUUGCUGACGGUGACAGGAGGUGACUCAGAGACCUGAGAGCGGCAAAGGGAGUCAACCGAGGAGGAGGCCUUUGCUGGGAGUGUAGCGCCCACGUAAUUACAGGGUCAACGCCUCAGCCGCCUGUGCUCGUUCGCAGGGGAGCUGACCCGAUGACACCCUGCACCUCCUGGAGGAGGCUUCAGCCCCUGAAGGAUCCCAGUUUUUCAGGAGCGUGUGCUCCAAGCCUGUAGGGUUACCCCCGAGGGCCCAAACUCGAUGAGAUCUGUUCCUAAGUGGCUGGACAGGAAGGCCAUGAAUUAUUGACAGAUCCUCAAGGCUCUUAAGUAUAUUAAUCACCGAUUUGGAUGAGGGCGUAGGGGAUGCAUCCACCAAAUGUUUAGAAGCCACACGUAGGGGUGAGACCGCCAGUCAGGUGGGCCACGGGCUCAUAAUCCACUGCACCUGAACAGGACCAGGACUGGGCCCAAGCCAGAGUCAAACUAGAAUAAACUAAAAAGUAAAGUGCCCUCAGGUCCAGAAGCCAGCUGCCAAGUCCACGGUGGGAGUGGGGAAUCCGAUGACGGAGAGCCUGUCGCCUCUCCGAUCACGUGCCACUUACAGGCCCGCGGUGCGCAAGUCCGCUUCGCUCCGCGCCGCUUAUCCUUCAGUCCGGGUGCCGCACGCUGAGGGUGCCGCUGCAAAGUGGAGCACCUGGGGGGGGGGAUCGGGUGCAAGGAGACCCCUCGUUGCUCUGCAUUUUGGGAAAUGCGUUAUUUGGGAAAAGGAGUAAAGUACAGGUUAGGUGACCAACCACCCGGGUUCACGUGGGGCUGCGGGGAGUUGUCGGACACGGUACGUGCAGGCUUAAAAGCCCGGGCAGGACUGGGCGCCUGCCUCGGGCUCGGGCUCAGGAUCCCGCGUCAGGCUCCCUGCUCCGUGGGGAGGCAGCUUCCCCCUCUCUUCCUCCCCCCCAGCUUGUGCGCUCUCUCGCUCUCUCACUGUUUCUCUCAAAUAAAUAAAUAAAAUCUUUGAAAAAUAAAUAAAUAAAAGCCAUUCCCAGGAGCCAUGUGUAGAGAUCCCUCGAUGUCCCUGGCCGCAUCACGUCCGGCGCUACCCCCACCACGGGCACUGGCACCGUAUUUCGUGGACACACUGCCACCCCGAGCAGCACUGGGGUUCAGUUAGCAAGGAGGGGGAGGAGGAUGGGAACUGGGCCGCACAGGGCAGGGUGCCCCGCAGCCAUCCUCUGGGCCACUUACUCAUCACCGUGCCACCUCCCUUCCCCUUGGGAAACUACACGACCACCGGCCUAAGGACACGGCCCGAGGGUGCGGCCCAGCAGGAGGGCACCGGGACUUGGGGGCACGCCGGCUGCAGUGCUGCACCAGCGCAGGACCCAUGACUCCCAAAGCCAAGGUGCUCUCGGCGCACCCCGGGCCCGCACACCAGCCUUUAGGAGGAGCGGCACAGCUGGCACGGAAGGAGGGUGCGAUGGGCCCCCCCUUCCCUCAGCUAUUCAACAUCGGGAGGAAUGUUCUACUAGGACCCGCCGUCCUGAAACCAAAAGCAGAGUGACUGAAGCACGGGGCCCAGAGGAAGCCGCCCCGUGGCCUGGGUGACAUCGGCGGUGCCCGCUUACACAGGAGCGGGCCAGGGGGCUGCCCGGGUGGGCGCCUGUGGCCCGACCCCCCGCUGGCUGUGUGCCCGCGCCGGAGGGGCCGCGGGGCCUCUGCUGUCCCCACGCGGGCGCCCGGCCCAGGGCAGACGGUGUGAUCCCGGCCCGGGGCUGCUCCUGGGGUUCUGGGCGUAUGCGGCCUUGAGGACCCUUAGUCUAGGCACUGGGGUGCAUCUAACAGGAGCCUCCAGGCUGCGGGUUUCUAACACAUUUCAUGAGGGGCUCCUGAGAAGCAGGCGAGAGCUAAAUCAGGCCCCUGAGCUGUGUCACAACUUCCGAGAGCUUAGGGUCGAGCUGAGGCAGGGAAAUGCUCCACGGGCCUGUAAUGGAACGGGUGUUUCUUAAUUUAUUAUUAUUAUUAUUAUUAUUAUUUUCUGUCUUGAAUGUUGUAGUAAGAAAUGAUUCAUUUACGAAAUUUGGGGAUCCCUGGGUGGCACAGUGGUUUAGCGCCUGCCUUUGGCCCAGGGCACGAUCCUGGAGACCCAGGAUCGAAUCCCACGUCAGGCUCCUGGUGCAUGGAGCCU